CUUCGGUUCUCUGGUUAGUGGCGCACGGGUGCGUAACGCGUAUGCAACCUACCUUCCACUGGGGGAUAGCCCGGGGAAACCCGGAUUAAUACCGCAUGUGACCACUGAGAGGGCAUCCGAUCGUGGUAAAAGCUGAGGCGGUGGAAGAUGGGCAUGCGUGCCAUUAGCUAGUUGGCGGGGUAACGGCCCACCAAGGCUACGAUGGCUAGGGGUUCUGAGAGGAUGGUCCCCCACACUGGUACUGAGACACGGACCAGACUCCUACGGGAGGCAGCAGUAGGGAAUAUUGGGCAAUGGCCGAGAGGCUGACCCAGCCAUGCCGCGUGCAGGAAGAAGGCCUUCUGGGUUGUAAACUGCUUUUAUCUGGGAAGAAAACGCCCCUGCGGGGGUAACUGACGGUACCAGAUGAAUAAGCACCGGCUAACUCCGUGCCAGCAGCCGCGGUAAUACGGAGGGUGCAAGCGUUGUCCGGAUUUAUUGGGUUUAAAGGGUGCGUAGGCGGCCCGUUAAGUCAGCGGUGAAAUCCCACGGCUCAACCGUGGAACUGCCGUUGAUACUGGCGGGCUUGAGUUCGGUCGAGGCGGGCGGAACUGGUGGUGUAGCGGUGAAAUGCUUAGAUACCACCAAGAACCCCGAUUGCGUAGGCAGCUCGCUGGGCCGAAACUGACGCUGAGGCACG
This 679-nucleotide ribosomal RNA is filed under the name Pontibacter sp. MJH12. RNAcentral describes it as "bacterial SSU rRNA". It matches the Rfam family "Bacterial small subunit ribosomal RNA", at positions 78 to 755 of the family's 1533-position model. The record is from RNAcentral. Lineage: Bacteria; Pseudomonadati; Bacteroidota; Cytophagia; Cytophagales; Hymenobacteraceae.